UUUGGUCAAGCUAAUAAGGGCAUACGGUGGAUGCCUUGGUACAGAGAGGCGAUGAAGGACGUGGUAAGCUGCGAUAAGCCUCGGGGAGGUGCAAACAACCUUUGAUCCGAGGAUUUCCGAAUGGGGCAACCCGAUGCGGGUCAUGCCGCAUCACCCCCGGGUGAAUAUAUAGCUCGGGUGGGGCUAACGGGGUGAACUGAAACAUCUAAGUAACCCCUGGAAUAGAAAGCAACCGCGAUUUCCUCAGUAGUGGCGAGCGAAAGGGAAAUAGCCCAAACCGGUUCGCAUGUUAAAACCUGCAUGUGUUGUGCGACCGGGGUUGUGGGGUGAGAUCUGAUAGAGAUGCAGAUCUGUCAGGGAGUUACAAAUUUGCAAUGUAGCCAAACAGUUCUGGAAAGUCUGGCCGCAGAAGGUGAAAGCCCUGUAGGCGAAACAUUGCAAACUCCUGUGAUCUCAUUCCCGAGUACUGCGGGACACGUGAAAUCCUGUAGGAAUCUGGGAGGACCACCUCCCAAGGCUAAAUACUCCUCUGUGACCGAUAGUGAACUAGUACCGUGAGGGAAAGGUGAAAAGUACUCCUGAAUGGAGAGUGAAAUAGAACCUGAAACCGUUUGCUUACAAGCGGUCGGAGGACAAACCGCGAUCUUCGGAUCUCGGGGAGUCUGACGGCGUGCCUUUUGCAUAAUGAGCCGGUGAGUUACUCCUGAGUUGCAAGGUUAACCUACUUUGUAGGGAAGCCGUAGCGAAAGCGAGUCUGAAUAGGGCGAUACAGUAGCUUGGGGUAGACCCGAAGCCAGGUGAUCUACCCAUGGCCAGGAUGAAGCGUGAUUAACCUCACGUGGAGGUCCGAACCCACCAAUGUUGAAAAAUUGGGGGAUGAGCUGUGGGUAGGGGUGAAAGGCCAAUCAAACCUGGAGAUAGCUGGUUCUCCUCGAAAUAGCUUUUGGGCUAGCCUCUUGUUAUAGAGUGGCGGAGGUAGAGCACUGGAUAGGCUCGGGGGCUUCACCGCUUACCAACCCUAACCAAACUCCGAAUGCCGCACACUUGUUCCAAGGGAGUCAGCGCAUGGGGGAUAAGCUUCAUGUGCGAGAGGGAAACAACCCAGACCACCAGCUAAGGUCCCUAAGUACAGGCUAAGUGAUAAAGGAUGUGGGAGUGCGUAGACAGCCAGGAUGUUGGCUUAGAAGCAGCCAUUCAUUUAAAGAGUGCGUAACAGCUCACUGGUCAAGUGAACCUGCGCCGAUAAUGAUCGGGACUAAAGCCUGUCACCGAAGCUGUGGGCUUCAACUUUUGUUGGAGCGGUAGAGGAGUAUUCUAUUGUAGGCUGAAGGCAGACUGUGAAGUCUGCUGGACGACGUGGAAGCAAUCAUGCCGGCAUGAGUAGCGAUAAAACAGGUGAGAAUCCUGUUCACCGAAAGUCUAAGGUUUCCUGGGGAAGGUUCGUCCGCCCAGGGUUAGUCGGACCCUAAGCCGAGGCCGAAAGGCGUAGGCGAUGGGAAACAGGUCAAAAUUCCUGUACCACCUUAGAGACGUUUGAACUAUGGGGUAACGCAGAAGUGACGAUCAGCCCGCGACUGGAAAUGCGGGUCUAAGCCUGUAGGGGGAUCACCAGGGAAAAUACGGGUGAUCACAACCCUGAGAGGUGAUGGGGAAACGAGCCUUCGGGCAAGCCAACUGGUCUUAAUCAUGCUGCCGAGAAAAACCUCUAUGUGAGUCUCUCGGGUGUCCGUACCGCAAACCGACACAGGUAGACGGGGUGAGAAUCCUAAGGUGCGCGAGAGAACCCCUGUUAAGGAACUAGGCAAAAUGGCUCCGUAACUUCGGGAGAAGGAGUGCCUCCAAGUAGGUGAACGGACUUGCUCCGGGAGCUGAAGGGGGCCGCAGAGAAACGGCCUGGGCGACUGUUUACUAAAAACACAGGUCUCUGCUAAGUCGCAAGACGACGUAUAGGGACUGACACCUGCCCGGUGCCAGUAGGUCAAGAGGAAAGGUUAGUCUUCGGACGAAGCUUUGAAUCGAAGCUCUGGUAAACGGCGGCCGUAACUAUAACGGUCCUAAGGUAGCGAAAUUCCUUGUCGGCUAAAUACCGACCUGCACGAAUGGUGUAACGACUUGGGCGCUGUCUCAACAGGGGACUCGGCGAAAUUGUAGUUCCGGUGAAGAUGCCGGAUACCCGCGACGGGACGGAAAGACCCCAUGAACCUUUACUCCAGCCUGGUACUGGGUUUCGACUCAGUAUGUGCAGGAUAGGUGGGAGACUGUGAAGCGGGAACGUCAGUUCUCGUGGAGUCGCCCUUGAAAUACCACCCUUAUUGUGUUGGAAUUCUAACCUCGAUCCUUGAAUCAGGAUUGGGAACACUGCCAGGUGGGAAGUUUGGCUGGGGCGGCCGCCUCCCAAAAGAUAACGGAGGCGCCCAAAGGUUCCCUCAGCGCGGUUGGUAAUCGCGCGAAGAGUGUAAAGGCAUAAGGGAGCUUAACUGCGAGACAUACAGGUCGAGCAGAUGCGAAAGCAGGGCUUAGUGACCCGGCGGUUGCGCGUGGAAGCGCCGGAGAUCAACGGAUAAAAGGUACUCUGGGGAUAACAGGCUUAUCUCCCCCAAGCGUACAUAGCGACGGGGAGGUUUGGCACCUCGAUGUCGGCUCAUCACAUCCUGGGGCUGGACAAGGUCCCAAGGGUUUCCCUGUUCGGGAAUUAAAGUCGGUACGCGAGCUGGGUUUAGAACGUCGUGAGACAGUUCGGUCCCUAUCUGUCGUGGGCGCAGGAUAUUUGAGGAGAGCUGUCCCUAGUACGAGAGGACCGGGAUGGACGAACCUCUAGUGUACCAGUUGUCUCGCCAGGGGCAUUGCUGGGUAGCUAUGUUCGGAAGGGAUAAGCGCUGAAAGCAUCUAAGUGCGAAGCCCACUCCAAGAUGAGAUAUCCCGUGGGAUAACCCACCUAAAGGCUCCUUGUAGACUACAAGGUCGAUAGGUCACAGGUGUAAGCGCAGCAAUGCGUUCAGCCGAGUGAUACUAAUCAGCCGUGAGGCUUGACCUU
Molecule: ribosomal RNA, 3034 nt
Filed under: Gemmatimonadota bacterium
Lineage: Bacteria; Pseudomonadati; Gemmatimonadota
Description: Gemmatimonadetes bacterium 23S ribosomal RNA
Rfam family: Bacterial large subunit ribosomal RNA
Source: RNAcentral